AACGAACGCUGGCGGCAUGCCUAACACAUGCAAGUCCAACGAGACCUUCGGGUCUAGUGGCGCACGGGUGCGUAACGCGUGGGAACCUGCCCUUAGGUUCGGAAUAACUCCCCGAAAGGGGUGCUAAUACCGGAUAAUGUCUUCGGACCAAAGAUUUAUCGCCUUUGGAUGGGCCCGCGUUGGAUUAGCUAGUUGGUAGGGUAAAAGCCUACCAAGGCGACGAUCCAUAGCUGGUCUGAGAGGAUGAUCAGCCACACUGGGACUGAGACACGGCCCAGACUCCUACGGGAGGCAGCAGUGGGGAAUAUUGGACAAUGGGCGAAAGCCUGAUCCAGCAAUGCCGCGUGAGUGAUGAAGGCCUUAGGGUUGUAAAGCUCUUUUACCCGGGAUGAUAAUGACAGUACCGGGAGAAUAAGCUCCGGCUAACUCCGUG
Molecule: ribosomal RNA, 433 nt
Filed under: uncultured bacterium
Lineage: Bacteria
Description: partial 16S ribosomal RNA
Rfam family: Bacterial small subunit ribosomal RNA
Source: RNAcentral